Long non-coding RNA from Oreochromis niloticus (Nile tilapia), 1622 nucleotides. RefSeq lists it as uncharacterized. The record is from RefSeq and is a predicted model, not a curated record. Lineage: Eukaryota; Metazoa; Chordata; Actinopteri; Cichliformes; Cichlidae. The transcript has 2 exons.
CAGAUUCCAGCAAAGCCAAUCAAUGACUGAUAAUGUUCAGCUGGCUGUUUUCUUCCUCUUUCCACUGAAACCAUGGUUGAUCACAGAGCAGGUGGAUCAACUGAAGGGAUGGAGUGUUCAGGUCCUGUGUCAGGUCUUUGUUGGAUUUUUCUCCCCUGUUUCUUAAAGACAUGACUUUCUGAUACAGUAUCAUCUGCUGUGGAUCAUUUUUUUAGGAUUGCCACUUCUUUUUAAAUGUUUUAGGAACAGACGACACGCCAGACUGACGGCUCUUUGGCAAUCACCUUGCUAAUGCAAAAAUGCCCUCUUAAGCCAAUGUCAAAAUUUGUUAUCUUUGACAUUUUUCAUGAUUUCAACUAAAGAAACAAAUUAUAUGUUUUUGCAUCAGACACUAGUAACAAAGUGCCUAAAGCUACACUUUAAAAUGAAUAUUCAGGUAAGAGGAGAAACAUCUGUAACCAUGAGGCCCUGUCACCUGACAACACUGGCCUGAUCAUAUUGGACUCAGCCUUGAUGGGAAGACCUCCUUCAAUGCAUGAAUACAGUCACUGUACAGGCAUUUCUCUAAGUGAGCUGUGCCACAUCAAUGGCCAUGCACUUUGUAGACUGCUUUGCAAAUUCCAAGUUAUAAUAAGAAUGGCAUUCUACUUCAGGGCCUUUGCCUUCAGCUAAACAGUCAGAUGUGAUACAAAGGACUACUUUUGGAACUUGAGCAAUUCACACAUCUUCCAGCAGAGGGUAUUCGUGAGUAGAAUCAGUGGCUCCUCAAAGUGCUGCAUAAGAGAAUUAGAGUAAAGAGAAAAUAUCCAGUGAGUGACAGUUCUGGGGUGAAAAUGCCUUGCUGAUGCCAAGAGGGGAAUGGCUGAACUGCUUCAAGCUAAUAGGAAGGAAAAAAUAAAUCAAAAGUGACCAAAAAAUAAAAAAUAAAAAAUAAUGUCAGCAAUAAGCCAGACAGCGUCAUCUCCAUGUGGGUCAUGAGGAUCCAGGGUGCUGUCUUGCUCAAUGCCAAAGCAGAGCAGUUUGAAUAAGGAGAAGUAUCAGUAUCACACAGGAAUUGUGUGAUCUUGUCUUUAAUCAUAACUCAGUAAAGUUUGAUACAUAAAGUUUAGCUAUUUUUUUCUCCAUGCAACACCACAGCACGUCUUUUAAAAAAUUAAUAAACAAUGGUAAUUGGAUUUAGAGUGAGCUUUUUUGUACAAGCACAUAAAGCACUCUUGUAAGGUAUGUACAGUGUUAGAGCCAAUGGGUACAAAUCCUUAUAAUAAUUUCACAAUCAUUUGGGGACAUCUUUUUUCUGCACCACACUGUAUGUUAGAUUGCAAACGAAGUUCUAAAAUGAAAAGAUUGUGAGAUAGUCCUACAUUUAAACUGUUGCUCUAAGCUUUUGGAUGAGGUUAGGCGACCGCAUAUAAAACUGAGAAAACUGUAUAUUGACAUUUUUACAUAAAAAGUUCCUUCCAAGAAAACAUGAAAGAAUAAAUCGACUUGAACUCCAAAAUAAUAAAUAUCAGUAAGGUCAGCACUUAUUUUCACAGAAUUUAAUCUAUGGUAAGAAGCCUCACGCUGUCAAUUAAAUCUGUAAUAACUGUGCCACGGACACAUUAAGGUGAACAUCUCAUUUU